UACAGAGGGUGCGAGCGUUGUCCGGAAUCACUGGGCGUAAAGGGCGCGUAGGUGGCGCUGCAAGUCGGUGGUGAAAGCUCGAUGCUUAACAUCAAGUCGGCCAUCGAAACUGCAGGGCUCGAGCACUGUAGGGGCAGAUGGAAUUCCGGGUGUAGCGGUGGAAUGCGUAGAGAUCCGGAAGAACACCGGUGGCGAAGGCGGUCUGCUGGGCAGUUGCUGACACUGAGGCGCGACAGCGUGGGGAGCAAACAGG
RNAcentral lists this ribosomal RNA (253 nucleotides) under uncultured bacterium. RNAcentral's name for it is "partial 16S ribosomal RNA". It matches the Rfam family "Bacterial small subunit ribosomal RNA", at positions 524 to 776 of the family's 1533-position model. The record is from RNAcentral.